AGUGAACGCUGGCGGUAGGCCUAACACAUGCAAGUCGAACGGCAGCACAGUAAGAGCUUGCUCUUACGGGUGGCGAGUGGCGGACGGGUGAGGAAUACAUCGGAAUCUACUUUUUCGUGGGGGAUAACGUAGGGAAACUUACGCUAAUACCGCAUACGACCUACGGGUGAAAGCAGGGGAUCUUCGGACCUUGCGCGAUUGAAUGAGCCGAUGUCGGAUUAGCUAGUUGGCGGGGUAAAGGCCCACCAAGGCGACGAUCCGUAGCUGGUCUGAGAGGAUGAUCAGCCACACUUGAACUGAGACACGGUCCAGACUCCUACGGGAGGCAGCAGUGGGGAAUAUUGGACAAUGGGCGCAAGCCUGAUCCAGCCAUACCGCGUGGGUGAAGAAGGCCUUCGGGUUGUAAAGCCCUUUUGUUGGGAAAGAAAAGCAGCAGGUUAAUACCCCGCUGUUCUGACGGUACCCAAAGAAUAAGGACCGGCUAACUUCGUG
This 492-nucleotide ribosomal RNA is filed under the name uncultured bacterium. Its description in RNAcentral is "partial 16S ribosomal RNA". It matches the Rfam family "Bacterial small subunit ribosomal RNA", at positions 29 to 507 of the family's 1533-position model. The record is from RNAcentral.